This 221-nucleotide long non-coding RNA is filed under the name Mytilus galloprovincialis (Mediterranean mussel). The record is from RNAcentral. Lineage: Eukaryota; Metazoa; Mollusca; Bivalvia; Mytilida; Mytilidae.
AUACUGUUUUACCUCUGUCUGUCCUUCCGUCAGUCCGUCAGUCAGUCCGUCCGUCCCAUGAAUAUUUUUCGUCACAUUUUUCUCAGGAACUACAAUACAAGGAUUUCUGAAAUUUGGUUUCAGGGUUUAUCUAAGUCAGCUAUACCGUGUGAUGCGUUUUCAGAUUGAUCACUUGACAACUUCCUGUUUACCGAACACUUGUAUGAUUUUACACAUGAUAG